Long non-coding RNA from Tachysurus vachellii, 323 nucleotides. RefSeq lists it as uncharacterized. The record is from RefSeq and is a predicted model, not a curated record. The transcript has 3 exons. NCBI's taxonomy places the organism in Eukaryota, Metazoa, Chordata, Actinopteri, Siluriformes, Bagridae.
UUCUAGCUGUGGAGAGGAUUGUGAGAAUUGUGAGGGAACAAGGAGAAAGAGCCAUUACAGCUGUCUGCAGUGCAUUAAAAAUUCCCAUGUUCUGUGCGCCUUUGGUUGAUGCUCUUCUAGCAGGAAUCGAAAAACGUUUUGGACAGAUGCUUGUUGAUCCAGAGCUAAUCGCUGCGAUUCUACUCCCCAAAUUUAAGACGUGCUGGACAAGUGAUGAAUGUGUCCUGAAACUUGGUCUUGACUAUAUUAAAAGCCACCUGAAACAACAAAUGGAAGUGCAUCAAAGUGAGACCUCACAUUCCUCAGAAGAUGAUGACUUUUUU